CUGCGGAAGGAUCAUUGUCGUGACCCUGACCAAAACAGACUGCGCACGCGUCAUCCAAUCCGUCGGCGACGGCACCGUCCGUCGCUCGGCCAAUGCCUCGACCACCUCCCCUCCUCGGAGCGGGUGGGGGCUCCGGGUAAAAGAACCCACGGCGCCGAAGGCGUCAAGGAACACUGUGCCUAACCCGGGGGCAUGUCUAGCUUGCUAGCCGUCCCUCGUGUUGCAAAGCUAUUUAAUCCACACGACUCUCGGCAACGGAUAUCUCGGCUCUCGCAUCGAUGAAGAACGUAGCGAAAUGCGAUACCUGGUGUGAAUUGCAGAAUCCCGCGAACCAUCGAGUCUUUGAACGCAAGUUGCGCCCGAGGCCACUCGGCCGAGGGCACGCCUGCCUGGGCGUCACGCCAAAACACGCUCCCAACCACCCUCAACGGGAUUCGGGAUGCGGCAUCUGGUCCCUCGUCUCUCAAGGGACGGUGGACCGAAGAUUGGGCUGCCGGCGUACCGCGCCGGACACAGCGCAUGGUGGGCGUCCUCGCUUUAUCAAUGCAGUGCAUCCGGCGCGCAGCUGGCAUUAUGGCCUUUGAACGACCCAACAAACGAAGCGCACGUCGCUUCGACCGCGACCCCAGGUCAGGCGGGACUACCCGCUGAGUUUAAGCA
RNAcentral lists this ribosomal RNA (660 nucleotides) under Triticum aestivum (bread wheat). RNAcentral describes it as "eukaryotic LSU rRNA". The stretch from base 244 to 399 matches the Rfam family "5.8S ribosomal RNA". The record is from RNAcentral. Lineage: Eukaryota; Viridiplantae; Streptophyta; Magnoliopsida; Poales; Poaceae.